This 440-nucleotide ribosomal RNA is filed under the name uncultured bacterium. Its description in RNAcentral is "partial 16S ribosomal RNA". It matches the Rfam family "Bacterial small subunit ribosomal RNA", at positions 338 to 795 of the family's 1533-position model. The record is from RNAcentral.
CCUACGGGAGGCAGCAGUGGGGAAUAUUGCACAAUGGGGGAAACCCUGAUGCAGCAACGCCGCGUGAGUGAAGGAGUGUUUCGGUAUGUAAAGCUCUAUCAGCAGGGAAGAAGCUGACGGUACCUGAGUAAAAAACCCCCGCCAACGACGUGACAGCAGCCGCGGUAAUACGUAGGGGGCCAGCGUUAUCCGGAUUUACUGGGUGUAAAGGGAGCGUAGACGGCGAGACAAGCCUGAGGUGAAAGCCCGGGGCUCAACCCCGGGACUGCUUUGGAAACUGCCUGACUGGAGUGCGGGAGAGGCAAGCGGAAUUCCUGGUGUAGCGGUGAAAUGCGUAGAUAUUAGGAAGAACACCAGUGGCGAAGGCGGCUUGCUGGACCGUAACUGACGUUGAGGCUCGAAAGCGUGGGGAGCGAACAGGAUUAGAUACCCGAGUAGUC